UACGUAGGUGGCAAGCGUUGUCCGGAUUUACUGGGCGUAAAGAGCGCGCAGGCGGUCGUACAAGUCGCGUGUGAAAGCCCCCGACUCAACUGGGGAGGGUCACGCGAUACUGUUCGACUCGAAGGCAGGAGAGGGAAGCGGAAUUCCCGGUGUAGUGGUGAAAUUCGUAGAUAUCGAGAGGAACACCGGUGGCGAAGGCGGCCUCUGGACCAGUGACGUGAACGCUGAGACGCGAAAGCGUGGGGAAGCAAACAGGG
RNAcentral lists this ribosomal RNA (257 nucleotides) under uncultured bacterium. RNAcentral describes it as "partial 16S ribosomal RNA". It matches the Rfam family "Bacterial small subunit ribosomal RNA", at positions 524 to 777 of the family's 1533-position model. The record is from RNAcentral.